Molecule: ribosomal RNA, 534 nt
Filed under: Triticum aestivum (bread wheat)
Lineage: Eukaryota; Viridiplantae; Streptophyta; Magnoliopsida; Poales; Poaceae
Description: partial small subunit ribosomal RNA
Source: RNAcentral
AUGUCUAGAAAGGGGAGAUUGGAGCUGGUCAAUACAGUCCUCACUGCUCUCACAACCUACCUAUUCACCAUUUUCCCUCCCCCUAAAUGGCUGCUCAGGAAGAUUGAUUGCUUCAGAAGAAGCUUCCUUUGGAGUGGGGAGGAGGACGCCGCUGGGAGCAAGUGCCUCGUCAACUGGAACAAAGUCUGCUCUCCCAAGGUUUAUGGUGGUUUAGGAAUAAAGGACCUAGAUUGAUACAACAGAGCCCUCAGAUUACAUUGGUUGUGGUUUGAAUGGGACGAGGAACCUAGGCCAUGGAAGGGACUUUCGGUGCCCUGUGACACAAUAGAUCGAAAUAUUUUUGCCGCCUGCACCAAGUUGGAACUGGGCAAUGGAGAAAGCAUCUCCUUCUGGUGGGACAUCUGGCUGCUGGACUGCCCGCUCAAGCUCUUUACACUUGAUCUGUUCAAACUAGCCUACAAAAAAGAAGAUAUGUGUGAAGGAGGGACUGCAAACCAACCGAUGGAUGAGAGGGCUACACCGAAUCACCACUGA